UACAGAGGGUGCAAGCGUUGUUCGGAAUUAUUGGGCGUAAAGGGUGCGUAGGCGGUCGGGUAAGUCUGAUGUGAAAUCUCACAGCUUAACUGUGAAACUGCAUUGGAUACUAUCCGGCUCGAGGAAUGGAGGGGAGACUGGAAUUCCUGGUGUAGCAGUGAAAUGCGUAGAUAUCAGGAGGAACACCGAUGGCGAAGGCAGGUCUCUGGGCUGACACUGACGCUCAUGCACGAAAGCGUGGGGAGCAAACAGG
Molecule: ribosomal RNA, 253 nt
Filed under: uncultured bacterium
Lineage: Bacteria
Description: partial 16S ribosomal RNA
Rfam family: Bacterial small subunit ribosomal RNA
Source: RNAcentral